GUGAGGAAUCUUGCGCAAUGGGGGAAACCCUGACGCAGCAACGCCGCGUGAGUGAGGAAGGUCUUCGGGUCGUAAAGCUCUGUCAGGCGGGAAGAAAUGCAUGGAGGUGAACAGCCGCCAUGCUUGACGGUACCGCCAGAGGAAGCACCGGCUAACUCCGUGCCAGCAGCCGCGGUAAUACGGGGGGUGCAAGCGUUGUUCGGAAUCAUUGGGCGUAAAGAGCGUGUAGGCGGCUUGGUAAGUCAGAUGUGAAAGCCCUGGGCUCAACCCGGGAAGUGCAUUUGAAACUGCCAGGCUCGAGUAGGGGAGAGGGAAGUGGAAUUCCUGGUGUAGAGGUGAAAUUCGUAGAUAUCAGGAGGAACACCGGUGGCGAAGGCGACUUCCUGGCCCUAUACUGACGCUGAGACGCGAGAGCGUGGGUAGCAAACAGGAUUAGAAACCCGAGUAGUCC
Molecule: ribosomal RNA, 451 nt
Filed under: uncultured bacterium
Lineage: Bacteria
Description: bacterial SSU rRNA
Rfam family: Bacterial small subunit ribosomal RNA
Source: RNAcentral